Coturnix japonica (Japanese quail) is the source of this 3222-nucleotide long non-coding RNA. RefSeq lists it as uncharacterized. NCBI's taxonomy places the organism in Eukaryota, Metazoa, Chordata, Aves, Galliformes, Phasianidae. The record is from RefSeq and is a predicted model, not a curated record.
AGUGUUCUCAGAUAUGUAAAGCUCAAUUCGAAUUGUGUCUUUCAUUGUUGUUGUUUUCAUUGUUGUUGCUUGUUGGUUAUUUGUUUUGCUUUCAGUGCCAACAGAUGUCACCUCUGUCCUCUUUUUCCAACUCCAGAAUACCAUCUAAGGUUAUUCGGGCAUCAUUUGUGGCAAGAGAAUGAUCAUAAAUAACCAUAGAGGUACAAAACGUUUUACCUUGCCAAGAGCAAGCUAGAAAGGUCUGAACUUUAAAUCAGAUUUGGUACAUGGAGAAACAAUAACCAAAAGUAUGUUGCUGAGACUUAUUGAUUAAGUGGGAAACAAAAUUACAUAUCUACUUAGUUGAUAAAUCAAAGUGCUUAGGGGUGGGACCAGGAGAAAGAAGUAUGGAGAUGUGCCAGGAAGACCUCAAGAUAGAUAAGAAGUCAUUUUUUGUGAGCUGCAGGACCCUGGUUUUAACUUCCACUUAGGGAUCCAAGUGAAGAGAUUUUUGUAUCUCUUGGUUUUUAAAUCUACCACCCUUCUUCUCAAAAUGAUGCAGCAUACCUCCAAAGGCUGUGAAACUGCCAUUUAAACAGGCAUCAGCUACGUAUGCACCCCCAGGCACCAAAGGGCUUUAUGAACGCUCUGGUUGUUGUAUGUCGGAUAAUAUAUCCAGGAGGAAAACAACAUGAAAAGAUCGCUUAAAUGAUCAAAACAGAAACGAUGAAUAAUGACACGACACUGAAGAAUUUCUGAGCACUGAACCAGUAACAAAGCACACGUCUCAAUUUUCCUCAAACAGAGCCUGUCAGAAAAACAAAGCAAAUCAAAAACAAGUAGCACAGACAAGUUUUCUGUCUCACAGUUUUGGUCUUUUGCCUGCUGCUUUGAAGAGUUGAGUUGCAUAAUAGCUUGUAUGAACUGUUAACAUUUUAAUUAUUUAAAAGGUCAUCAAUGUGUGGGAAUGCUACGUUAAAGCUAGAGGAUAUUUUUGAAAUCAAACAGAAAAGACAGGAACAAGAUACAGGCAAACCCGUAAAUGAUAGCUAAAGUGGAGAUAUACACCUUACAGAGAAGCCUUCAUGAAUACCACUGCUCUUCACUCAUUCCCUUGCCUCUGAUAUUGAAAAACUAUCUUAUGAAUAAUCAUGUUACAAGUCCUAGCAUUCCUAUCUUCUUGUUUAACAAAAUAUCCCUUGUUUUAAUUUUACUGUUAAUCUACUGAGCUAUUCAUUAAAUAUCCAGUUACUUUUGAUAAUUUUAGAAACUGUACGAUGAAGAGGAAUGAUAAUCAACAAUUUUAAAUUUUGUGCUACUUUUAAAUGGAAAUUAGGAGUUGAUUAUAAAAACAAAAUAUUUUAUGCUUCUAAGAAAAAAUGUAACAAAUAAAACACUCUUGUUUUUGAGUUGAAGUGGGCUGGAAUAAGUACUGAAACAAGCUUCAACAUCUGUAGAACUGCCAUAGACUAUGGUACUCCUCUGUGACUAGGCUGCCUUCAAUAAUGAUUUAAUGAUAAAGCUAGUGCUGUCUGAUACUCUGAAAUACUUAAAGAUUUCAGAGAGACAGAAGACUGCACAGGGCUUGAAAAAGCUUGCUAAAGACAGUGAAAGCAGAGAAGAAUUAGAAACUCCUUUAAAACAUGAAAUUGAAGUGUGGCAUUACAGCAAUAGUUUCAGAGUAUUGGUAAAAUCAGUGUGUGCAUCUGUGGGACUCCAUCUCUUUCCUUUCUUAGCAAUCCUUGGACACUGGAAUUUAAAGUUUAUUUGGGAUAUCCUUAUGAUGCAAACACCAUUUUACUGGAAUAGUAAAGCGUAAUGUAUGCAAUUAACUGUAUAUUCCUAAAGUUUUGGUAUCCCUGUGUUUUGUACUGCACCAGAGAGAUAUAAUUAACCAAUCGUUGGGUUGAAAAGGACCUCAGAGUGUAUCUAGUUCUAACCCCAUCCGGGCAAGGUUGCUAAUCGCUAGAUCAAGCACUAGAUUAAGAUCAGCCUCUGGCUAAAUCCAUUCCUGGAGCUCUUUCAGAAGUCUGGGCGUUUGGAAUCAUUUCUUUGGGUCUAGCUCACUGAACUGACACAAUAAAGCUUCUCUCUAUUUUCUUUCAAGGAUAGACUCUUGAAAGGGGCAACGACUAGCUGUAUGAUGGAUAGUAGAGCAAUAUUUCCUGUAAGAUCUAAUGUAAUAGUAGUGAGGAUGCAUAUAUAGACUUGAAAUGCUCAUAAUUUAAACACAGAGAGAUAGGGUGAAUGACAAGGGGGAUGGAAAAGCAGGAAGAAGGUCAUCAGCUAGAGAAAAUUCUGGCUUCUGUGCAGCUGGCUUUUCAGAGCUGAUCAUUGCUCUGACAGAUCUCAGCUGCUUCACAUGUAAGAGUGAAUAUACAGAGUAAAUUUUCAGAAUGAGCACUCUAGCUACCAUAGAUUUCAUAUUGACAUUGUCAAUUGACAUUACCAUAGUUUGACUUCAUAUUCUUCAGAUGAGCUGCGGUUAAUUUAGAAUAAGAUAGAAUAGGGUAAAUAAAUGGUUGCAAGUGGUAUCAAACUCAAAAACGACAGUGUAAGAGGCAACUGAGAAUGGAAUUCUGUUGCAAUUCAAGCACUCCUCUGUGCUUCUCUCUUCAAAUGCAAGCACAUUUAAAGCAUUAUUUUGCCACUAAUUUCAUUGAAGAAAAUUAACAAUGCCUGCUCAGGGAAGAAAACCAAUUCACCAUCCUUUUAAGUCAGAGUACUAUGUGCAGGUAGCUUGGUAGUUUUACACUUUGGCUUUUUUCAGAAUAAUAUAUUACAGUGACUCCCUAGGACUUUCUUAUGCAGAUCAUUGCUCUGUAGAGCUGAUGGCUACUGAAGAACCUUUGCAAUGGGCCUGGACACAGAUCUUACCAAGUGAUUCUAUGAUUCUAAAAGUCUUUGUGGGUAAGACUUGAAUGCUCCAUCUGUCAGAUCCUAGCAAAUACCUAAGGUGGAAUUUUCACUGGAGGUAAAAAUCUGCUUUUGGGCAUAGAUUUGAUGAGCAGGUUGGUGUAAGUUUUGCAGGCAAAAAAGGAGGCAUGUGAUAAACAGAGAGUGAGGGAUGGCUGUGAAUAUUACAAGAGUGGUCAGGGGCUGGAAUUUGGGAGAGAAUACAGACAGAUAGAUAAACAAAGGAAAAAGGUUUGAUUGUUACAUAGUUCUGAGUUGACAAUGUAUUGAGCAUUCACAUCCAAUACUUAAAAAAUGUGUUUUGCCAUUUACAAAAAGAAAAUAAAA